UGUGUUAAGUUUGAUCUCGUCAAGCUAAGUGGAAGCUGGAAAGGAAUGGAUCAAACGGGUCAACUGCGCAAGGAAAGCUCGAACGGACGCAAACUGUGAUGUUCGUCUCAUUUCGGACCCCGAUCAAGGAAGAAUUCAAGAACCGGACACAAAGUUUUGAAGCUUCUGCGCUAAUCUAAUCUUGUUUUAGACAAUGUUUAUUUGUAAACACUAAACUCAAUGUUGUAUGUUUUAACUAGUUAGUUUGUAAACUAAAAUACCAUAACCAUGUAAACUUAGUUUUUAUAACUAAGUUUUGAAAUGAU
This 305-nucleotide long non-coding RNA is filed under the name Helianthus annuus (common sunflower). Its description in RNAcentral is "sRNA HanXRQr2_Chr04g0149301". The record is from RNAcentral. Lineage: Eukaryota; Viridiplantae; Streptophyta; Magnoliopsida; Asterales; Asteraceae.